Long non-coding RNA from Bombyx mori (domestic silkworm), 2659 nucleotides. RefSeq lists it as uncharacterized. The transcript is spliced from 2 exons. Lineage: Eukaryota; Metazoa; Arthropoda; Insecta; Lepidoptera; Bombycidae. The record is from RefSeq and is a predicted model, not a curated record.
CGAUCUUAUGUCUAGUUUAUUAUAUCGUGUUCAAUACUAUUGAGAAUAACUACGCAAAAAAGUAGAUAGGCUCUGAAAACCCGUUUUAUAUUGAAGAUUUAAAAAAAAUCAACAGUACGUCCUUUACAAUUAUACCGUCCGGCGGUGCAGAGAAAAUGAGCAAAAAUAAUUUAAGAAUCUCGCCACCCUGGAGGCGUCUCAAUGUAGCGAGCGAGCGUUAACGAUAUCAUCACGAAACAAUAUUGAAAUAGUAUCGAUGCGAUGGCUGAAACAUAAUUUUCGUAUCUGACGCCCAUGAUCCAACGCCGAGUAAAACUUGGGUAAGCUUGUCGGCAAAUAUAUUUAAGCGAAAGCAUUUUUUUUUUCUUUAGUAAAGAAAGAGCGCCACAUUUAAAUAAUGCCUUCAUCGACUUUUUUUUUUAGAAAUUUUCUGUCAACGCUUUUGUCACAUAUCCAAACUCACUGCCAAAAAUAUGUACAAAUAUAGCCUCCAUUUUGAGCGCUAUUGAAAAUUAGAAACAAACAAAUUUUGUAUACGGCCAAAAGUAUUUGUAGGUACGUAUAAAAACAUUUAUUUAUUGAUAAUAAAAUAUUAAUAAAAAGAAAUACUUAUCAAGCAUUUUAUUACAGUCACAUUAUAAGUAUAUCUUACAGUAAGACAUCUGCCAUGGAAUAUCAUAGGAAAUAUUUCUGAUUUAAUUGCUGUUAUAAUUAUCGUUACUUCAAAUCCGUCCAUUUCUCUCACACCUCCGCUUUCUUCUCGAUUCGUUUACGAGAAAGUUUAAUAAGGAGCGAAGCUGAGUAAAGCGCUCGUAAUUGGAGAUCAGGGCUGUUAUUAUUAUGUGUAUAAACAUAAUUUUUACGUAGACAAAUUUACAUGAAUAAUGACUGAAUUAAUGAAUAUUAUCUUUAGAAAAUCAGAACGGUUAAUAGGGAAGCAUCCUGAAUGAUAAUUAUGUAAAAUUAUUAUUAUAUAGCCACAAAAAAUAUUGUAAAAACGUAAAUGGAUUUUUUUAAACGAUUUCGAAAUCUGAUUAAUAAAUAAUCCAUUACUUAAGUCGGUUGCAAGACAGGUGCAAAGUUGGAACAUUAGACUAUCUCUGUCUCGCAUGCCUGCACUCUGAUAUUAGUGACGUAAUAAAGUGUACUUCGCAAAAAAUAAUAAUAAACACCCUCAUUGCCUCGUUUGUUGAAUCCUGUAUGUGUUAUUAAUAAGUAGCUAAUACUUACAGAUCCCCAGCCUGACAUAGAAGUAAAACUCUACGGGAUCCGGAACUAAUACUUCGUAGAGUCUUUGUCGAAGGUUGCAUGCAGUCUUUGCUCUAUAAAUAACUUAUAAAACCUAACUGACUUACGGCCGUUUUCAAUAACGUAUCUGAGUUUUCGGAUAGAUAGCUAUCUCCGAAUAUCAGCAAGAGCGUAUCUAUCCUUAGUUUGCGUUUCACAAUCACGGAUAAGUGCUAUCUCUCUUUAACCAACAGUAGAUAGCUUCUUCCCUCCGAUUUAUCCGAGCCUCUUGAUACGUUUCGUUCUACUACAAAUACGAAACAACAUCAGGAUCAAGACUUAUUUUAUUUUAUUCUAAAUUAUAACUAUAAUUUAACCAGCAUAUUGUAGACUAUCAUAAACACAUUUGUUUAUAACAAAAAGUAAUAAAAACAUAUGUAGAUUUUUUUAAAUUGGACGUAUUGCUAUUUUUAUCCUAGUCGAAAUUAUGAAACGAAACGUUUUGACAGUCCGUUUGCCAAUAAGCAGUGAUCAGUUUCUUUUGUUUGUUUUUCUAUUGUUUACCUACUAUAUUAGAUGAUGACUUACCUCCAAAACGCUUUAAAACUUUCGUUUAUAAUUCUAAGUGUGUUUAUAAUUAAAGAGCUACAGUGAAAUAAAAUGAAUUCUUCAAGAAAGGCAGCACCCAUGACAAAAGAUGAGACGAUGAUUCUAGCAGAACUUGUGGCGGCGAAAAAACAUUUCAAUAAUAAGGCAACAAAUGCCACAAACAAUAAAUUGAAGGAGCAGGCUUGGCAAACCCUUGUAAAUGAUUUUAAUUUGUCGAUUCGUCGUUUCCCACGAACUCCAUCGCAGCUUCGACUAAAAUGGGAAAACUUAAAGAACGCUACGGCAACAUAAGAAACAACCUUAGUAAGGUUAGUAUAAUUAGUUGAUUGUUUGUCUCUAAUAACACAUUGAUAAACAUGAUUUUUUCUUCAGGUUGCCGUAGUAUUUGAAAUAAUUAUGCUCUUUGUUACAGGCUAGAGGUGGUAAGGAUUGCAGAUGAAAAUUUGGAUAAAGCAUGCACAUUGUUGUAGGUCACAUAUAAUAUUUUUAACACUUUUACAGCCAAGCGGAAACAAGAUGGAAGAAAAGAAAUGCAAGGCUAGCAUAGGGACAAUGCAUUAGCAGAAUAUCUAAUAGCAAAAAAGAGACUUGACUUGGAAAAUAAAGAAAAGGAGAUUGUUGUAGCAAAAGUUAAGUUAGAUUUAGAUAAUUUAAAAAAUUAAAAAUUACUUAAAAGGAAUAUUAAAUUUCAUAAAUUAAGUAGGCAAUAGUAAUUUUAUGUUAGAUAGUUUUUUAAGUAUAUGUACAAAUUCUAAAUUAAAUAUCUUGCAUGUACUAACUACCAUGUAAUUAUCAUUUUGGAAAAUAAAAAAUAGUCAAAUUA